This 229-nucleotide long non-coding RNA is filed under the name Elaeis guineensis (African oil palm). RNAcentral's name for it is "long non-coding RNA (EGUI_LNC077554)". The record is from RNAcentral. Lineage: Eukaryota; Viridiplantae; Streptophyta; Magnoliopsida; Arecales; Arecaceae.
AACGAGAUCUACUGUUGGACAGGUCUAUCUUCUUCCUGGAAAAGACUGGAAUAAAGGGAUAUAGGAUUGCAUCAUAAGACACAAGUCAUCCAGUAAAAGGCUAUUCUGCCAAUCCAGCAUCCUGCAAUGAAAAGAUCCUCUUGUUGGUCUUGGACCAGCUUUCAUGUGAGCAAGACUAUAUUCCACCUCCCUUUACCAUAGAUGUGCAUAUCCCUUUUUCUUUUUGGCC